This 1135-nucleotide ribosomal RNA is filed under the name uncultured marine group I thaumarchaeote. Its description in RNAcentral is "bacterial SSU rRNA". It matches the Rfam family "Archaeal small subunit ribosomal RNA", at positions 262 to 1398 of the family's 1478-position model. Lineage: Archaea; Thermoproteati; Nitrososphaerota. The record is from RNAcentral.
UACAGGUACGGGNUNUGAGAGGAGAAGCCCGGAGAUGGGUANUGAGACACGGACCCAGGCCCUAUGGGGCGCAGCAGGCGAGAAAACUUUGCAAUGUGCGAAAGCACGACAAGGUUAGUCCGAGUGAUUUCUGCUAAAGAAAUCUUUUGCAAGUCGUAAAACCACUAGUGAAUAAGGGGUGGGCAAGUUCUGGUGUCAGCCGCCGCGGUAAAACCAGCACCUCGAGUGGUCAGGAGGAUUAUUGGGCCUAAAGCAUCCGUAGCCGGCUCUGUUAGUUUUCGGUUAAAUCCAUAUGCUCAACAUAUGGGCUGCCGAAAAUACUGCACAGCUAGGGAGUGGGAGAGGUAGACGGUACUCGGUAGGAAGGGGUAAAAUCCUUUGAUCUAUCGAUGACCACCUGUGGCGAAGGCGGUCUACCAGAACACGUUCGACGGUGAGGGAUGAAAGCUGGGGGAGCAAACCGGAUUAGAUACCCGGGUAGUCCCAGCUGUAAACGAUGCAGACUCGAUGAUGCAUUGGCAUAUAGCUAGUGCAGUGUCGCAGGGAAGCCGUUAAGUCUGCCGCCUGGGAAGUACGUACGCAAGUAUGAAACUUAAAGGAAUUGGCGGGGGAGCACCACAAGGGGUGAAGCCUGCGGUUCAAUUGGAGUCAACGCCAGAAAUCUUACCCGGAGAGACAGCAGAAUGAAGGUCAAGCUGAAGACUUUACCAGACAAGCUGAGAGGUGGUGCAUGGCCGUCGCCAGCUCGUGCCGUGAGAUGUCCUGUUAAGUCAGGUAACGAGCGAGAUCCCUGCCAUUAGUUGCUAUCAUUAUUCUCAGGAAUAGUGGGGCGAACUAGUGGGACUGCCGUUGUUAAAACGGAGGAAGGAAGGGGCUACGGCAGGUCAGUAUGCCCCGAAACUCUGGGGCCACACGCGGGCUGCAAUGGUAGUGACAAUGAGUUCCAAACUCGAAAGAGAGUGGCAAUCUCCAAACACUACCACAGUUAUGACUGAGGGCUGUAACUCGCCCUCACGAAUAUGGAAUCCCUAGUAACCGCGCGUCAUUACCACGCGGUGAAUACGUCCCUGCUCCUUGCACACACCGCCCGUCGUUUCAUCGAAGUUUGCUUUUAGCGAGGUGAUGUUUAAUUGGC